AUUGAACGCUGGCGGCAUGCCUUACACAUGUAAGUCGAACGCGAAAGGGGGGCAACCCCUGAGUAGAGUGGCGCACGGGUGAGUAAUGCAUCGGAACGUGUCCUGUAGCGGGGGAUAACCUAGCGAAAGCUGGGCUAAUACCGCAUACGCCCUAAGGGGGAAAGUGGGGGAUCGUAAGACCUCACACUAUAGGAGCGGCCGAUGCCGGAUUAGCUAGUUGGUGGGGUAAAAGCUCACCAAGGCGACGAUCCGUAGCGUGUCUGAGAGGAUGAUCAGCCACACUGGGACAGAUACACGGCCCAGACUUCUACGGGAGGCAGCAGUGGGGAAUUUUGGCCAAUGGGGGAGACCCUGAUCCAGCCAUGCCGCGUGAGUGAAGAAGGCCUUCGGGUUGUAAAGCUCUUUCGGCCGGGACGAAAUCGCACGCGUGAAUAUCGUGUGCGGAUGGCGGUACCGGCAGAAGAAGGACCGGCUAACUACGUGCCAGCCGCCGCCGUAA
RNAcentral lists this ribosomal RNA (499 nucleotides) under uncultured bacterium. RNAcentral describes it as "partial 16S ribosomal RNA". It matches the Rfam family "Bacterial small subunit ribosomal RNA", at positions 29 to 523 of the family's 1533-position model. The record is from RNAcentral.